CUUUGUUUCAAAUCCAACUUCAAAUAUUAUUUUUUUCAUUAUGGAAUAAUGAAGAAAAAAUUCAAUAUACAACCCCCCCCUCCCCCAAUUCAAGAGUAUUGAAAUGAGAUAUUUUAGUGAUGUUUCAUACUUCCCCUAUUCCUCCCCUCAUCAUUGCUUUCUGAUUUCAACCCUAAGUUAGCAAAGUUUAGGAGGAGGUGAUGUGACAAUCACAAACUGUUUUUUUUUUUGUUGUUGUUGAAAAAUAUUUUAGUGUCCAGUUGAUUUGAACAGGAUACGAGCAUACUCAUGUUGGCAGGUCAUGUUCCAGACAAAAAUUAUCAGUGUGCAAGGUGUACAUUUACUUUUUUUUUUUUUUUAAAGAAAAAAGUAUCUAGUUUCCUUCCGUUUUACAGACAUCUAAACAUUUCUUUUGACCUAACAUGGUGUGAUAGGUGGGAGGAGGCCAGAAAGGAUGUCAUACAGGGUACUUACUCCUUCAAUGAGUCCAUUUUGAUUGCAGAUCUGAAGACAUUUCUUCAAAAUGGCAAGUGAGGUGAUUUAUGCAGAGGUAUCACGUGAGGAAAGAAUGCGUUUUACUUCACAAAAUUCAGACGCAGGUGAUCAGAUCACCUAUGCUGAGGUGAAAGUGAAAUGGAAAUCUGACAACACCAACAAUACAUCCACGUCUACACAUACAAGUAUGGCAAUACAGCAGGAAAUUUAUAUCUUUCUCAUUAAAUGUUAUCCUCUUUGUAUACCGUUUAUUAUUAAUUACAUAUUACACGUAAUGGAAGAGUUACUUGGUGCUAGGUUUCCAGAGAUGUAGGUAUGAUUUAGGCAAAUUUAAAAACCAUCAAAGAUUUUCCCUGUUGCUCGUUACCCCUGCCUGGAGGCUGACGGUGAGUGUUUACAAAGUUAGCAUGUGCAGCCACGGGUUCCCAUCCCAGGUUUUGUUUCGGCCAAGCUUCUUGUCCCUCUGCCACAGCUAAGCCUACAAGGAUUUAUGGCACCCCUGUCCCUUGCAUUAGGGUGCCUCUGCGGCUCAGUCCAGCAAAUCUUUUUCUUGUGUCAGUGCUUGACUGGGUGGAUCGCACCAGGGAGUAAGUGAUGGUCUGAGGGCAUGGUGGUGCAGACAUAUUUGUGUCCCUGCUGCUCACUGCAAGGAGCUCUGGAGCACACUGGCUGCAUCUGCACAGCAGAAUGCCUGGCCCCCUCUUUCCCUUAGGCCCC
Molecule: long non-coding RNA, 1212 nt
Filed under: Anser brachyrhynchus (Pink-footed goose)
Lineage: Eukaryota; Metazoa; Chordata; Aves; Anseriformes; Anatidae
Description: lncRNA (ENSABRG00000009877.1)
Source: RNAcentral